GACGAACGCUGGCGGCGUGCCUAAUACAUGCAAGUAGAACGGUGAAGCGCGGGUCUUGCUCUGCGCGGGUGAGGCGCGCACGGGUGAGUAACGCGUAUGUAACCUGCCUGGUAGCGGGGUAUAAUUAGGGGAAACGAGAUCUAAUACCGCAUAACAAUCGGUGACACAUGGCGGGUUGGUGAGAUUCGCAAUUGGUCCACUGCAAGAUGGACCUGCGUUGUAUUAGCUAGUAGGUGAGGUAAUGGAUCACCUAGGCGGGGUUACAUAGCCGACGUGAGAGGGUGAGCGGCCACACUGGGACGGAGACAGGCCACAGAGUCAUUCGGGAGGCAGCAGUAGGGCAACUUCGGCAAUGGGUGGAAAACUGAGCGCGAUAGGCCGAGUGCGUAUGGAGGGUCUUCGGAUCGUAAAGCACUGCUGUCGGGCAAGAAAGGGUGUGCGCGUGGAAAGUUGCCACUGUGACGGUAGCUGAUAAGAAAGCGACGGCUAACUACGUG
Molecule: ribosomal RNA, 497 nt
Filed under: uncultured bacterium
Lineage: Bacteria
Description: partial 16S ribosomal RNA
Rfam family: Bacterial small subunit ribosomal RNA
Source: RNAcentral